RNAcentral lists this transfer RNA (69 nucleotides) under Ictidomys tridecemlineatus (thirteen-lined ground squirrel). Its description in RNAcentral is "Spermophilus tridecemlineatus (thirteen-lined ground squirrel) tRNA". It matches the Rfam family "tRNA". Rfam says of the family: Transfer RNA (tRNA) molecules are approximately 80 nucleotides in length. Their secondary structure includes four short double-helical elements and three loops (D, anti-codon, and T loops). Lineage: Eukaryota; Metazoa; Chordata; Mammalia; Rodentia; Sciuridae. The record is from Rfam by way of RNAcentral.
GGAGCUGUGGCUCAGUGGUAGAGCACAUGUCUUGCGUGUGUGAGACACUGGGUUCGAUCCUCAGCACCA